Ceratobasidium sp. 423 is the source of this 103-nucleotide non-coding RNA. The record is from the annotation of a GenBank genome assembly. Lineage: Eukaryota; Fungi; Basidiomycota; Agaricomycetes; Cantharellales; Ceratobasidiaceae.
GCGUGGGUAGUAUAAUGGUUAUUAUCUCGGUUUCCCAUCAAAUGGCCUGCUUACAUAAGCAGGGACCCUACCGAGGAACCGGGUUCGAUUCCCGGCUCACGCA